RNAcentral lists this ribosomal RNA (492 nucleotides) under uncultured bacterium. RNAcentral's name for it is "partial 16S ribosomal RNA". It matches the Rfam family "Bacterial small subunit ribosomal RNA", at positions 29 to 507 of the family's 1533-position model. The record is from RNAcentral.
AGUGAACGCUGGCGGUAGGCCUAACACAUGCAAGUCGAACGGCAGCACAGUAAGAGCUUGCUCUUACGGGUGGCGAGUGGCGGACGGGUGAGGAAUACAUCGGAAUCUACUUUUUCGUGGGGGAUAACGUAGGGAAACUUACGCUAAUACCGCAUACGACCUACGGGUGAAAGCAGGGGAUCUUCGGACCUUGCGCUAUUGAAUGAGCCGAUGUCGGAUUAGCUAGUUGGCGGGGGAAAGGCCCACCAAGGCGACGAUCCGUAGCUGGUCUGAGAGGAUGAUCAGCCACACUGGAACUGAGACACGGUCCAGACUCCUACGGGAGGCAGCAGUGGGGAAUAUUGGACAAUGGGCGCAAGCCUGAUCCAGCCAUACCGCGUGGGUGAAGAAGGCCUUCGGGUUGUAAAGCCCUUUUGUUGGGAAAGAAAAGCAGCAGGUUAAUACCCCGCUGUUCUGACGGUACCCAAAGAAUAAGCACCGGCUAACUUCGUG